AUAUAAGUUAUCGUUUAUUUGAUAGUACCUUACUACAUGGAUAACCGUGGUAAUUCUAGAGC
This 62-nucleotide ribosomal RNA is filed under the name Verticillium nonalfalfae. Its description in RNAcentral is "partial 18S ribosomal RNA". The record is from RNAcentral. Lineage: Eukaryota; Fungi; Ascomycota; Sordariomycetes; Glomerellales; Plectosphaerellaceae.